CCUGGGGAGUACGUUCGCAAGGCUGAAACUCAAAGGAAUUGACGGGGGCCCGCACAAGCCGGUGAGCAUGUGGUUCAAUUCGACGCAACGCGAAGAACCUUACCUGGGCUUGAACAGCAGAUGACCGUCCUGGAAACAGGGCUUUCCUUCGGGACAUCUGUAGAGGUGCUGCAUGGCUGUCGUCAGCUCGUGUCGUGAGAUGUUGGGUUAAGUCCCGCAACGAGCGCAACCCUUGUCCUUAGUUGCCAGCGGGUAAAGCCGGGAACUCUAGGGAGACUGCCCCGGAAAACGGGGAGGAAGGUGGGGAUGACGUCAAGUCCUCAUGGCCUUUAUGUCCAGGGCUACACACGUGCUACAAUGGGCGGUACAAAGGGUUGCGAUACCGCGAGGUGGAGCCAAUCCCAAAAAACCGUCCUCAGUUCGGAUUGCAGUCUGCAACUCGACUGCAUGAAGGUGGAAUCGCUAGUAAUCGCGGAUCAGCACGCCGCGGUGAAUACGUUCCCGGGCCUUGUACACACCGCCCGUCACAUCACGAAAGUCGGUUGCACUUGAAAUCGCUGGGCUAACCCGGCAAGGGAGGCAGGCGCUUUAGGUGUGAUUUGAUGACAUGGGGUG
This 615-nucleotide ribosomal RNA is filed under the name uncultured Holophaga sp. RNAcentral's name for it is "bacterial SSU rRNA". It matches the Rfam family "Bacterial small subunit ribosomal RNA", at positions 872 to 1482 of the family's 1533-position model. The record is from RNAcentral. Lineage: Bacteria; Pseudomonadati; Acidobacteriota; Holophagae; Holophagales; Holophagaceae.